This 490-nucleotide ribosomal RNA is filed under the name Colletotrichum gloeosporioides. RNAcentral describes it as "eukaryotic LSU rRNA". The stretch from base 176 to 329 matches the Rfam family "5.8S ribosomal RNA". The record is from RNAcentral. Lineage: Eukaryota; Fungi; Ascomycota; Sordariomycetes; Glomerellales; Glomerellaceae.
UCGAGUUACCGCAUCCUUAUAACCCUUUGUGACAUACCCCAAACGUUGCCUCGGCGGGCAGCCGGAGCCCAGCUCCGGCGCCCGGAGCCGCCGUCUCGGCGCGCCCCACCCGCCGGCGGACCACUAAACUCUAUUUAAACGACGUCUCUUCUGAGUGGCACAAGCAAAUAAUCAAAACUUUUAACAACGGAUCUCUUGGUUCUGGCAUCGAUGAAGAACGCAGCGAAAUGCGAUAAGUAAUGUGAAUUGCAGAAUUCAGUGAAUCAUCGAAUCUUUGAACGCACAUUGCGCCCGCCAGCAUUCUGGCGGGCAUGCCUGUUCGAGCGUCAUUUCAACCCUCAAGCACCGCUUGGCGUUGGGGCCCUACGGCUUCCGUAGGCCCCGAAAUACAGUGGCGGACCCUCCCGGAGCCUCCUUUGCGUAGUAACAUACCACCUCGCACUGGGAUCCGGAGGGACUCCUGCCGUAAAACCCCCCAAUUUUCCAAAGG